AGUAUGGGACUCAUCCUACUUCAUUUGAUUCAUAUUGAGGUUGUUUCCUGCCUGGAAUUUUGUUUUUGUUUUUGUUUUUUUUUUUUCAAGACAGGGUUUCUCUGUGUAGCCCUGGUUGUCCUGGAACUCACUCUGUAGACCAGACUGGCCUCAAACUCAGAAAUCCGCCUGCCUCCCAAGUGCUGGGAUUAAAGGCGUGCGCCACCACUGCCUGGCCCAAAAUUAUUUUGAAUAGAGCUGCUGUGAAUGUUCUCUAGCACAUCUUUUUGUAAAUAUUGUCUUCCCCACUCCUAGGUGCACACCUAGAGGCGACGUGCUACAUCAUGGAGGGACAUCUUUUCCAAGUGCUGAUGUUCUUCCACAUUCUCACUAUCAGUAUGGAAGGGUACUUUUAUUCCAUAAGCCUGCAGACAGUUGGUUCUGUUCAGUGGGUUUGUUUCUAAUCAUUCUGGAAAACUUGAAAUACAUCUCACUCCUGUGGGUUCUCCACACCCCAACACCAAAGAUUGCACCCAGGGCCUUGUGCAUGCCGUACAAGUGCCAUACAUGUCCCCACCCCUCAUUGUCCGUUUUUAACUCUUAUAGUUUACUGCUGAGUUCUAAUGUUGAACACAGUGUCAUCUGCUUUUUAGCAUGGGUACAUUCUUUCUAAAACUUAGUGUGUGUGUGUGUGUGUGUGUGUGUGUGUACACGCACGUGCGUGUGCGCAUGUACACAUACCACAACCUUUGUCCAGAAGCCAGAGAACUUUAGGGAGUCAGUUUUGUCUUUUCAUUACAUGAGUCUAGGAAUUGAACUCAGAUGCUCAAAUUUGAUGGCAAGCACCUUUAUCUGCCGAACCAUCUUGCUUGCAAGAAUCAGUGCAGUGUCUUUCAAAGAUGUCUUUUAAAUAGGAGUCCUUUGACAGAUCUACAUCUUUUCUUCUUCACUUGUCGGAGAGGAUUAUUAUUAGUUGUCAAGGCUUUGGAAUCACAGAUCUCCAGGCAUAUCAGGGAGGGACUAGUUAACCUCUGGGCAUGCCUGUGAGGAAUGAUAUUGAUUAGGCUAAAUAAGGUGGGAGGGCCCAUGCUGAAAGUGGGCAGCACCAUUCCCUAGGUUUGUGUCCUGGAUUGCCUAACAAGGAGACCAUGAACUAAGCAUGAUCACCCGGUGCUUUCUGUUUCCUGACUUUGGAUGUGAUGUGACCAGCUCCCUCAAGCCUUGUCACCUGCAUACCCUCCCCAUGAUGAAAUGUGUUCAUAAUCUGUGAGCCAGAAUAAACCCUUCUCUUUUGAGUUGCUUUUGUCAGAUUAUAUUAUCAAAACAACAGGAAAACAAAUAAAGACACUGUCUUUUUAUAUAUGUUAUACAUGCUAUGUUACUAUGUUACACAUAGUAUGUGGAUAGAUAUGUAAUAUAUACAUAUAUAUAUGCAUAUAUAUAAUUACACAUAAUGUAUAUUUUGUCCAGGCCUCCCAUUUUAUAUACUUACUAUUAUAGUGUUACCUUUUGAAGGGCAGAAAAUUUAAUUGAAAUGAAAUCUGAUUUAUCAUUUUUAAGAGCGUUCUUAACGCUCUUUGAAUUGUGAUGUGUGUGAUUGCUAGUGUACAUGGUAUAUGUAGGUUGUGUACAUGGGUGUAUGUGAGUAUACAUGCACAUAGAUUGCAUAUGCAUACUGAGGCCGGCGGUUGAAGUGGGUGUGCUUCCUGUAUCACUUGGUUCACCUGUAUGUUUGAGACUCUGAUUCAGCAACACUGGCUGGCCAAUGAGGUUCAUGGCUGGGCCUGACUCUGCUCCCCAGUGCUGGGGCUACAGGAGCAUACUGUUCCUGGAUUUUACAUGGAUUCUGGGGAUUGGAACCCAGAUUCUUGUGCCUGCAUGGCAGGAACUCUACAGACUGAGCAAUCUCCCCAGGCUUAACACUGUUGUAUGUCCUGUGCAGUCUUAUCAUUUAGGUUUGGUUCUAAAACCCAAUGUACACCAAUUUUUUUGUGAAUGCAGAAAUGUGGUGGAAAGACUCGGAUAUUCAAUUCCUUGUCACUUACUCAAAACAUCGUAUCUGUAUCUUCCUAUUGAAUUCUGUUGGGAGAGGGACAUCCAUCACAGGCAAACAAUGACAAUGACAAGAACCCAACGCCUUUCUCUAAGUUCAAGUGAGCCACUGGGAAGUUUGAAGACCUUCUUAAGGAAAUGCACACUUUUUGCAUCGCAUCGUAGGUAGCUGUCAGUGUGUGCGUGCAUGUGUAUACAGUAGGUAGUUGUUAGUGUGUGUGUGCAUGUGUAUACAGUAAGAGUGAGUGUUUCUGUGUGAGGGAGGGUGUGUUCAUCUGCAUAUUAACCUGGAGAAGGUAGAGGUUAAAGUCAUAUGCCCUUUUUGGUCACUCUCUUUUUUCUUUUUGGGGGGGGGCAGGGUGUCUCCUUAGUUGACCUGGAACUCACCAAUUGCCUAGGCUGGCUGCCCAGCAAGUCCUGGGGAUACACCUGUUUCUGCUCCCCAGUUGCUGGCAUUAGAGGGACUCGCCACCAUAACCAGCUCUUUCUAUGGGGGUUAGAGAAUCUAAACUCACGUGCUCACUCUUAUGCAGCUUACGCCCUGAACCAUCUUUCCAGUCCAUUUGUGUGCAGUUUAAAAACACAUACACACCACGAGCACACAUUUAUUUUGAGAGCAAGAACCCUUUCUUGCUUACAUUUUUAUCCUUACCUCUGGCACGUAGGACAAGGCUUAGCUCGCUUUCAGGACUCCAUGAAAGAAUAAGCAUCUGAGCUCCAGCG
Non-coding RNA from Mus caroli (Ryukyu mouse), 2754 nucleotides. NCBI's taxonomy places the organism in Eukaryota, Metazoa, Chordata, Mammalia, Rodentia, Muridae. The record is from RefSeq and is a predicted model, not a curated record.